This 270-nucleotide long non-coding RNA is filed under the name Dermacentor andersoni. RNAcentral's name for it is "uncharacterized LOC126528411". The record is from RNAcentral. Lineage: Eukaryota; Metazoa; Arthropoda; Arachnida; Ixodida; Ixodidae.
CUUGUUUUAAUGCAGGUGUGGCUGGACCUGCAGAAAAGCUGUAAGCAGACUGCAGUGUUGCUGAUCAGGGCUGAUCUCCACGUCCGAGUUGGUCCCACAACAUCCAGGCACCACGGUGCUUUCACAAGAGGCAUACAAGCACUUUGUGUCAAAAACGCUGAGCACUGUGGAUACAGAGGCAAGGAGGCUGAAGGAGCUGAACAAGCACCUGGCCACCAUGCUUCGGGAUGCAAAAUAAAGAUGGUUUGUGUUAAUUGUGUGCCCUAAAAA